Molecule: long non-coding RNA, 1896 nt
Organism: Clupea harengus (Atlantic herring)
Lineage: Eukaryota; Metazoa; Chordata; Actinopteri; Clupeiformes; Clupeidae
Source: Ensembl
AGUUCUCGCAGCAGUGCACGUCCCUUGAUGGUCACAGGUGCGGCGAAACCCAGCGGGUCAAAAAGACUGUUGACUGUGGAUAGGACUCCACGGCGGGUAAACGGUUUGCCGCUGACGGCGACCUUGAAUGUAAAGGUGUCAGAGUCAAUGUCCCAGCACAACCCCAGGCUUCUUUGCAUUGGCAAAGCUCCGUCGUCCAGGCCCAAGUCUUUCAGGCCUGCAGCCCGGUCUUCAGGUGGGAAGGCUUGCAUUACUGUGACACUGUUUGAGGCUAUCUUAUGCAGUUUGAGGUUUGACUCUGCCAGCGAUGCUUGAGUGCGCCUGAGUAGAUCGAUGGCCUCAGACUCAGACGGCAGUGAGACGAGCCCGUCAUCCACAUAAAAGUGUCUCUCCACGAAGUGGCGUGAGUCGGAUCCAUACUUCUGUUCGCCCUCCUGGGCCGCUUUCCGAAGUCCAUAUAUAGCCACCGCGGGCGACGGGCUAUUGCCGAACACAUGCACUCGCAUGCGGUACUCCGCCACCUCCUUCGUCAGGUUGUUAUCCUUGUGCCAGAGAAAUCUUAAGUAGUCUCUGUGAUCUUCUCUCACGAAGAAGCCAUAGAACAUUUGUUGGAUGUCAGCUGUCAGUGCAAUGAGUUCUUUUCUGAAUCUGAGCAGUACUCCGAGGAGGGAGUUGUUCAAAUCAGGGCCAGAGAGCAGGACACUAUUGAGAGAGAGGCCGUCUUCUUGUGCACUCGAGUCAAACACAACUCUAAUCUGACCCGGCUUUUGGGGGUGGUACACCCCGAAAAUGGGUUUUUUGUUCAGUGUGCGCCGCAAGGAGUGGAGACGAGAGAGGGCCUGAGCACGGUUGUUUGGGAGGCGUGGCCUGGGUGACCUGAAUGGCAGGGGAGCAAUCCAGCUGUUUUGUUCAUCUCUUUUGAAUUCUGUGUGCAUGGCAUUCAAGAAUGUCUCAUCUUCAAAAGAUAGAGCGUGUUUGUUGUCAUUUGCUGUUCUCAUGAACACGUCAAGUCCAAGCUUGUCCUCAGGGCGCACGUUGACGAGAGAGUGGCUGGAGAGGUCAUGUCUUUGCUCCCCGCCGUAGCUUGCCUUGUCUUUGACGUGUAUGUGAUUUUGACACGGUGUCAGGUACGAUGGACGUCCGUUAUGAAGGACAUUUGUCUUGAAGACAGCAACAGUGGGCUUGCGGGCACUGUCAAUGCAAACUUCCCCAACUAUGACCCACCCCAAGUCCAAGCGCUGGGCAAAAGGUGCAUUGUUAGGGCCAUUAAUCUGUUGUCUCACUUUAUGAACACGGAUUAGGUCUCUCCCUAAUAAAAUGAGAAUCUGUGCUUCAGGGUCAAGCUCUGGGAUAUGAGGAGCCACAGGCCUCAGGUGAGUGUGAGAAAGAGCCACCUCUGCUGUGGGGAUUUCUGACCUGUUGCUCAUGAUCUCAUUGCACUCAAUGAGUGGGGGCAAAUCCAGACUCACUGGGCCGUCGACUGCUUCUAUCUGGAAACCGACUGCUUUCCUCCCAGCCAUUUCAGUGGUGCCAGCGCAGGUCCUCAGCAGGUAAGGAGCAGGGCUACCGUGGAUGCCGAAGAGCUGGAAAAACUCAGACCUGGCCAGUGAGCGGUUGCUCUGGUCAUCAAUGAUGGCGUACAUCUUCACAGCACGUUCUCUUUCGCCUCGUGGGAAGACCUGCACCAGGCAUAUCUUUGCACAGGAUCGAGCCGGGAGACCAUCUCCGCAGACCUCUGUACACCUGGAAGUCACCUCUGAAGGAAAGCUGCGUUGCUGUUCUGUGUGUGGCUCCGCAACAGGAAACGCUGCUGGUGACAGGGUGGUGUCUGGAUGCAUGGUUGUGCAGUGUUCCUCACUUUCACACUCAUUGCAUUUCAGCUUCACAGGACAUUCC